This 288-nucleotide ribosomal RNA is filed under the name uncultured bacterium. RNAcentral describes it as "partial 16S ribosomal RNA". It matches the Rfam family "Bacterial small subunit ribosomal RNA", at positions 337 to 642 of the family's 1533-position model. The record is from RNAcentral.
GCCUACGGGGGGCAGCAGUGGGGGAUAUUGCACAAUGGGGGAAACCCUGAUGCAGCGACGCCGCGUGUGGGAAGACGGUCUUCUGGAUUGUAAACCACUGUCCCCAGGGACGAAAAUGACGGUACCUGGGGAGGAAGCUCCGGCUAACUACGUGCCAGCAGCCGCGGUAAUACGGAGGAUGCGAGCGUUAUCCGGAUUUAUUGGGUUUAAAGGAUGCGCAGGCGGCCUGUUAAGUCAGCGGUAAAAGCCCGGGGCUCAACCCCGGCGAGCCGUUGAAACUGGCGGGCU